Molecule: long non-coding RNA, 639 nt
Organism: Lolium rigidum
Lineage: Eukaryota; Viridiplantae; Streptophyta; Magnoliopsida; Poales; Poaceae
Exons: 3
Source: RefSeq, a predicted model, not a curated record
AUACGAACGGUCAGAUCUCCUGUUCUGUUUCCACCAUCCUGCGAUUUGCAGAAAACCCCCUCAUGUCUAUUCUGUUCCUCUCCCGUCCCUAUUCCAUAGGACAUCAGUACAGAACAUCGAGAUCCCCUUCUUCUCCACCUCUCAGCUCCCCAUUUCCCAUCUCAGAUCGAGCAGGCGAGCACCAUGGCUAUGGUGCCCCACCCAGCUUAGUCCAGCAUGCCAGAUCUCGUGCCAGAUAGAUCUUCUCUUGGUCGCACCUCGUAGCCUCGUCCCCUCGCCUCCAUGUGCUGUUAGGCUCUCGAUCGUGGGACGAGGGCGAGCGCCGCCUUGACAAUUAGGAGGUCUGCCGCAUUGCCAAGGAGAUCUGCAAGUUCUCCACCGGUUCGACCUUGCUCUCCAGGCAAUCAGAUAUUCAGAAUCUGGCUGUAAAAGAAGUGCUCUCGUUUAAUUGGAAAAAAACUGAAGCUACGUAGUGUUCAGCUCUUCCAAGAGCAGCUUGUAUGGAUCUCGUGGAGAGUGAGAUGUCAUCGUGUCCUAUGGAAACAAAUGAUUGUGCUGAUGCUGAAUCCAUUGUUGUCACGAGCUCUACCAUAUCAGAUUGCUUUAGUACGCCAACGAUCAGCAGGAGCAUUCCAUUUU